AUGAACGCUGGCGGCGUGCCUAAUACAUGCAAGUCGAGCGAACAGACGAGGAGCUUGCUCCUCUGACGUUAGCGGCGGACGGGUGAGUAACACGUGGAUAACCUACCUAUAAGACUGGGAUAACUUCGGGAAACCGGAGCUAAUACCGGAUAAUAUAUUGAACCGCAUGGUUCAAUAGUGAAAGACGGUUUUGCUGUCACUUAUAGAUGGAUCCGCGCCGCAUUAGCUAGUUGGUAAGGUAACGGCUUACCAAGGCAACGAUGCGUAGCCGACCUGAGAGGGUGAUCGGCCACUAUGGAACUGAGACACGGUCCAGACUCCUACGGGAGGCAGCAGUAGGGAAUCUUCCGCAAUGGGCGAAAGCCUGACGGAGCAACGCCGCGUGAGUGAUGAAGGUCUUCGGAUCGUAAAACUCUGUUAUUAGGGAAGAACAAAUGUGUAAGUAACUAUGCACGUCUUGACGGUACCUAAUCAGAAAGCCACGGCUAACUACGU
This 495-nucleotide ribosomal RNA is filed under the name uncultured bacterium. RNAcentral's name for it is "partial 16S ribosomal RNA". It matches the Rfam family "Bacterial small subunit ribosomal RNA", at positions 29 to 506 of the family's 1533-position model. The record is from RNAcentral.